GGUUUCGCUAGUCCCGAGCCGGACGCAAUGAACGCACUACGUACCGCUUUUCAGGGCCCACGCGUUCCUUUGCUGCAUUCGGCACGUUCACUGAAGUGACGUGCCGUUGAGAGCGCGGCAGAACGGGCGGAAAUCGCUUUCUAAAUCACCCCCGCGGACACGCCCCCAUCGCUUCCCGGAGCGCCGGGUGAGGAGGUUACCAGAGGAGAGAACCGGCGAGAGUGACGUCACUGGCGGGGACCGAGCUGCCGGACCGGCGUGCAGCUGAAAUCAAGAGAUGACUGGCCCUGUUCAAGGAAAGAAGACGUCGAGCGGACGGGUAGGAGUGUCCCGAACAUUAAGAGCCGGCCUACUAUUCCCAGUUAGCAGCAUCCGCCACCGAAUGCGACAUGGAUUCAGCGCCCACCGCAUCGGACCGUGUGCGCCAGUCUAUAUGGCGGCGGUUUUACAACAUUUAACGGCUGAUUUCAUCAAGAAAGCAGGACACAUGGCUGAGUGCGACAGCAAGAGCCAUAUCAAGUCGCGUCAUCUGCAGCAAGCAGUGCGUAACGACGAGGACCUGAGAAAAUUACUGGAUAGUAUAACCUUUCCGUAGAUGAACAAGAAAUCGAACUGAUGGUACAGCCCGUAUGACUUGUAAUGUAUAAGAACGUUACCAUUGUCGACGGCGGUGCGUGACGCAACAUUCAGCAGGAACUUAGAGAAGAACCGUGCCAGCUACGAAAAUUAAAAAUGUUGCACCAAGCUUUUCGCCUUUA
Molecule: long non-coding RNA, 758 nt
Organism: Dermacentor albipictus
Lineage: Eukaryota; Metazoa; Arthropoda; Arachnida; Ixodida; Ixodidae
Source: RefSeq, a predicted model, not a curated record